This 454-nucleotide ribosomal RNA is filed under the name uncultured bacterium. RNAcentral's name for it is "partial 16S ribosomal RNA". It matches the Rfam family "Bacterial small subunit ribosomal RNA", at positions 28 to 507 of the family's 1533-position model. The record is from RNAcentral.
GAUGAACGCUGACAGAAUGCUUAACACAUGCAAGUCAACUUGAACUUCGGUUUGGGUGGCGGACGGGUGAGUAACGCGUAAAGAACUUGCCUCACAGAUAGGGACAACAUUUGGAAACGAAUGCUAAUACCUGAUAUUAUGAUUAUAUGGCAUCGUAUAAUUAUGAAAGCUAUAUGCGCUGUGAGAGAGCUUUGCGUCCCAUUAGCUAGUUGGAGAGGUAACGGCUCACCAAGGCGAUGAUGGGUAGUCGGCCUGAGAGGGUGAUCGGCCACAAGGGGACUGAGACACGGCCCUUACUCCUACGGGAGGCAGCAGUGGGGAAUAUUGGACAAUGGACCAAGAGUCUGAUCCAGCAAUUCUGUGUGCACGAUGAAGUUUUUCGGAAUGUAAAGUGCUUUCAGUUGGGAAGAAAAAAAUGACGGUACCAACAGAAGAAGUGACGGCUAAAUACGUG